AUGAACCUUCCAGGAUCGCUUUAUGUUCCCAGACAUGAGUUGCUGGUUUAUUAUCCUAAACACAUCUAUGACCAAGAACGUGUUCUUCACUGUUAUGAUUGCUUUCCUUGCCCCCUGAACCAGAAGAAGAGGAGAAGACAGAGAAGCAAUGCUGGUGCAGUCUCAUCACUGGGAGUGGUUCCCAGAAGAGCAUCGCCUGCUCUGGUCUCUUUGCUGUGGUCUCUAACAGCAUAGUGAGCAAUGUGAACAAAGCACAUCAAGCUGCCAGAACGGAGGAGCACUCAAGCUGGUGUUGGGAGUGUGUAGGUGCAUGCAUAAAACAUGCACACAGGCUCUGAAGCAUAUACUGAAGGCUGAAGAAUGGAUUUCUACAAUUUUAAAAUGAGUUUUCUUUCUCCUCUCCUCUCCUCUCCUC
Molecule: long non-coding RNA, 415 nt
Filed under: Anser cygnoides (Swan goose)
Lineage: Eukaryota; Metazoa; Chordata; Aves; Anseriformes; Anatidae
Description: lncRNA (ENSACDG00005015042.1)
Source: RNAcentral